AGAUUGAACGCUGGCGGCAGGCCUAACACAUGCAAGUCGAGCGGUAGAGAGGUGCUUGCAUCUCUUGAGAGCGGCGGACGGGUGAGUAAUGCCUAGGAAUCUGCCUAGUGGUGGGGGAUAACGUUCGGAAACGGACGCUAAUACCGCAUACGUCCUACGGGAGAAAGCCGGGGGACCUUCGGGCCUCGCGCCAUUAGAUGAGCCUAGGUCGGAUUAGCUAGUUGGUGAGGUAAUGGCUCACCAAGGCGACGAUCCGUAACUGGUCUGAGAGGAUGAUCAGUCACACUGGAACUGAGACACGGUCCAGUACU
This 311-nucleotide ribosomal RNA is filed under the name uncultured soil bacterium. RNAcentral describes it as "bacterial SSU rRNA". It matches the Rfam family "Bacterial small subunit ribosomal RNA", at positions 26 to 338 of the family's 1533-position model. The record is from RNAcentral.